UGCGUAGGCGGAUCAGUAAGUCAGUGGUGAAAUCUUUCGGCUCAACCGGGAAACUGCCAUUGAUACUGUUGAUCUUGAGUUCGGUUGAGGUAGGCGGAAUGUGUAAUGUAGCGGUGAAAUGCUUAGAUAUUACACAGAACACCAAUUGCGUAGGCAGCUUACUAGACCGACACUGACGCUGAGGCACGAAAGCGUGGGGAUCGAACAGGAUUAGAUACCCUGGUAGUCC
Molecule: ribosomal RNA, 229 nt
Filed under: uncultured bacterium
Lineage: Bacteria
Description: partial 16S ribosomal RNA
Rfam family: Bacterial small subunit ribosomal RNA
Source: RNAcentral